Molecule: ribosomal RNA, 499 nt
Filed under: uncultured bacterium
Lineage: Bacteria
Description: partial 16S ribosomal RNA
Rfam family: Bacterial small subunit ribosomal RNA
Source: RNAcentral
AUUGAACGCUGGCGGCAUGCCUUACACAUGCAAGUCGAACGGCAGCACGGGAGCAAUCCUGGUGGCGAGUGGCGAACGGGUGAGUAAAGUAUCGGAACGUGCCCAGUCGUGGGGGAUAACGUAGCGAAAGUUACGCUAAUACCGCAUACGAUCAAUGGAUGAAAGCGGGGGAUCGCAAGACCUCGCGCGAUUGGAGCGGCCGAUAUCAGAUUAGGUAGUUGGUGGGGUAAAGGCUCACCAAGCCGACGAUCUGUAGCUGGUCUGAGAGGGCGGACGGCCAGACUGGGACUGAGACACGGCCCAGACUCCUACGGGAGGCAGCAGUGGGGAAUUGUUCGCAAUGGGCGCAAGCCUGACGACGCAACGCCGCGUGGAGGAUGAAGGUCUUCGGAUUGUAAACUCCUGUUGCCCGGGACGAACAGCUUCGACCUAACACGUUGAAGUCUGACGGUACCGGGUGAGGAAGCCCCGGCUAACUCUGUGCCAGCCGCCGCAGUAA